RNAcentral lists this ribosomal RNA (429 nucleotides) under uncultured archaeon. RNAcentral's name for it is "bacterial SSU rRNA". It matches the Rfam family "Archaeal small subunit ribosomal RNA", at positions 474 to 903 of the family's 1478-position model. The record is from RNAcentral.
UACCAGCUCUCCGAGUGGUAGGGAUGAUUAUUGGGCUUAAGGCGUCCGUAGCCGGCUUAGCAAGUUUCCUGUUAAAUUCAGCGACCUAAUCGUUGAGCCGCGGGAAAUACUACUAGGCUAGGAGGCGGGAGAGGUCGACGGUACUUCUGGGGUAGGGGUGAAAUCCUAUAAUCCCGGGAGGACCACCAGUGGCGAAGGCUGUCGACUAGAACGCGCUCGACGGUGAGGGACGAAAGCUGGGGGAGCGAACCGGAUUAGAUACCCGGGUAGUCCCAGCUGUAAACGAUGCGGGCUAGGUGUUGGGGUGGCUACGUGCCACUUCAGUGCCGCAGGGAAGCCAUUAAGCCCGCCGCCUGGGGAGUACGGCCGCAAGGCUGAAACUUAAAGGAAUUGGCGGGGGAGCACCACAAGGCGUGAAGCUUGCGGUUC